AGGAUACUUGCAUAAAUGGGCAUUGUGACACACAGAAGUCUGUGUAUUAAACUGUUCGAGGCCUAUACAGUGGCAAAAAUAGCUCCGUUCAAUACUCCCGUGCUCUAUGAGCAGUAUCUGCCAGCGCUCAAAAACAGUGUGUGCAUAGAGAAAUGAAUUCUCUUUCACUGCUGAUUGCAUUUCAAUGGCUUAAAAUCACUUGUUUUUAAACCGCAAUGCUUUAAAACAUAUGUAAACGAUAUGUUUUCAUGACCACAUAGCACUGCAAUAUCCCAUGAGCAUGUAACCGCGAUAAAGACAAUAGUCGAAAACUUCAUAGAUCUUUUACUAACAAGAAUCUGUAUGCAAAAAUGACCAUUUCCCUCCCUAUAUUUUUCUUUUCAAGUAAUCCGUUAUACUCCGAUUAAUGUCACAAUUCAGAAGAAGUAUGGCCAUUUCAGACCUUAACCUAUUUGUCAGUGCUUGUUAUUUCAAAGAAUGUAAUAACUUGCUCCAUCUCUGAAAACAGUCUUUUAAUGUUCAUGCUAAUGCUAACAUUGGUUCCUGGGAUGUCAUUUUCAUCCUCUUCGCAGCUAACUGCAAAAUCACAUUCACGCCUGGAUCCAAUUUGUUUCACAACAGCUUCUUUUAAUUUAGUUUCAAUUCCCUACAUUUUUGUUUCUCACUAAAUAUUCAAAACAUUGUGUCAAUAUAUUCUAACAUUAAUAUCUAAUAUUUGCGUUUAAUUAUAUUCACCAUAUUCUAAAACAUUGUGUAAUUCAAAUGUAUUGCGAAUGUCAUCUUAUAUUGUCUUUAAGGCCAUAUUUGGGUUACUUGUUAAAUGUAAAGUGAACACUCCAACAUAUGAGCACAAUUUUACUAGGGUUGGGGUGUGUGUGUGUGUGUGUGUGUGUGUGUGUGUUUAGCACUCCAUUGUCCUAAAACAGAUGAAUGUGAUUGAUGGUGACUGCAUAGUAAAUAUGGCUUUGUGGUGGACUGUUCCAGAGGUUUUUUUAGGAAACAGCCAGCAUGCAUGUUCAUGAUGGCUGGAUUGUGAUGUCUACAACCCAUGAAUGACUUCUUAAUAUGUUCUGCUCAGUGGUGCAUUGGUGAGAUUGGGUACACAAUGUACGCUGAACUCGAUGAACUUCAGUGGAUUUCAACCCCUGACCCACACUCUGGGUUCAUGGUCUUUUUUAUUUAGCAAUUCAACUUCCAGUAUUAUUAGUGUUAUACUAAAGAAUCAUCUACAUCAAACAGAACAAAUGAGGUUAUUCUUUGGACACUUUGAGACAUAAAAUGAAAACUUAAAAAAGAAAAAAAAUGCAUGACAACCUUUAGGUUUUUUUUUUUUUUGUAGUAAUACCUAUGAUUUUUUGUUCAAAUCUAGAAUAGCACUUGGCCAUUGAGAUGCCACUAAUUUUUAACAUAGAUAGACUGUAGAUUUGCCAAGUGCUUUGUAGAGGAACGUCAUGAAAUUUACAGUAGCUAGGAGCAAGAGAAGCGCUAUACAUUUUUGCUUUGCAUAUGACUGAAGUGCUGGGAAGGGACAAGGGCCACUGAAAAUAGCUAAGAGGGUAUGUCCAUUUUUAAAUGGUGGAUGAGGCUGAAGCAGCAUAUAUGUAGGGAGCUGCGGUCUAUGUGCACUGCAAGCUAUAUUAUAACUUCUUUCUAUCUUAAAAAUCUUUUUUUUUUUUUUACUGAAUUAGUUUACUGGUGUAGAUUACUUUCGAUGUUGAAUUGCACAUUGAUGAGUGCCACCUGGUGGCGGACUUCAUGUGCUGCAGGUAGAAAAGGAAACUGCCAUGCAGUUACUUCUCUUGACCACUAAGGAGCAGUAAAGAUUUGGAAAACUCUUGUAAUUUGACAUGAUCUUUAAUUUAUGAACCCCUUGCCAACUUAAAAUGUGUUUGAACUGCCAAAUAUAAGGAAAGGUUAUUUUGUUUAUUGAGAACUAAAGUAAAUUGUCUCUGCUGGUGUUUACCAAUGUGAUGAUCAAAACAUUUGAUACUUUAUUAACAAACAACCAAAAUGGGGAUUUGUGAAUAGCUAGCUAUAAGGGGUGCUUGGUCUGAAAAUAAGCUGAAUACCCCUUUCUUAGCACCUUGGGCUCCCUCUAUUCUAUUUUUAUUAUAAUUCUUUUUAUGUUAGUUUUUUUAAAUUCAAGUCUUAGGGCUGGUUCACAUAGAGCUCCUCUUUUUUUUUCGCAUUUAACUGUGCUGCUUUUUAACUUUGUCCUAUGUAAACAUGCACUAGGCAGAUGUCUUUGAGCACUGUGAUGCAUCUUGCUGCUUUUUCAGCAUCUUGUGCAUCCAAGCCGUGUUAACAAAAAAGAAGUCGUUUGACUAUUAAGGCAAGUUCAACUUUUAAGGCAAGACACCACUAGUGAAUAAGCUAUACAUGUAAUUACAAGGCAUAAUGUAAUUAAAUUUGCACUAAUUUCCAGGUUCAAAAUUUGUUAGAUUUGUGGUGACAUAUUAAAGAAACUGGCCUUCAAUAUAUGCAUCGGAAUUUAAAUUCGAUGCAAAUAGUUCUACUAGUUUGAGUGUUUUACCUUAAAAAGCACAUUUCGAUGCUCUGUUCUUUCUCAUUUCUCAGCACUACAUUCUUAUGUGCAAGAACGCGUUCUGUUUGAACGACUUAAGCUGGAAAUAUCCAAGCUCACUCCACCUCACAGUUCAAGAGAGACAGAAGGGGUGCAAACACAGGAAAAACAAUGACAGAUGCAAUCAAAAAAGCCUCGGAUGAAGACAUACCUCUCCUGAACUGAUGUCUUGUACAUUUAAUGCUUUUAAUAAGAUGUCUAUCAGCCUGUUAAUCUUAUAACAUCUUUCCAGCGUUCUCUCCUCCGUAUGAACCCACUCCUCUUUCUCUCUUUCUCUCCUCUGCGGCCCGCCGCUCCAUGUACUUGACCUAUCUGUGCGCUUCUGCGCUGCUCCGCCGGCAACCUCAAAGACUUCUAACAGAUUUCAAAACAUAUAUUGCUCUUUGUACAUCCCUGCCUACCAGAGACCAAUGCAUGUGCGCACACACAAGCAGGUGUGUGGAUCUACCUCCUGACACCUUCAGCCAUACCUCCCUGGCCCCUGUGCCCUGAUAAAGAUCAUGUGAUGCAGGAGAUUUGUUUGAACAUGGUGUUAUGGGAAAUAGAUGUAAAUGGAGGCAACUUUGAAUAUGGGAUGUUGUAGAUUCAUACCUCACCAGGGGCCGGGGAGCUCCAUCAGCAUGGCUCCGGAGAGAAUGUCUCUGGUGUGCCCACAGGGAUCCUGCAGCUAUUUUUUUUUUUCAGUAUAGAUGUAUGAAUAUACAUAUAUAAAUACAAAUAUAUAUAUAUACUGUACAUUAUGCAUAGAAACACUAAUGAAGUUUGAUUGUUAGUUGUGCACUCACAGCAUGAGAUGUUAUUCCCCAGAAACCGCUUUUCGGAAACAAAUGCAGUAGUGUCUACUGAUGUCAAAACCCCUCUGUACCCUCCACCCCACCCCGAGUACAUGCCAGUGUUUCCUCUGUGUUCCAAGUGCCAAUAACUUUGUGAAUUCCUUUACUGUGACCCAACGAGAAAGAAAAUUGCACAUUAACUACUGUAAAAAAAAAAAGAAAAAGAGAAGAAAUUAUGAAAAUACAUCUUAAUAAAAAGCUUUGUAACAAAGAAA
This is a long non-coding RNA of Carassius carassius (crucian carp), 3632 nucleotides long. RefSeq lists it as uncharacterized. The record is from RefSeq and is a predicted model, not a curated record. NCBI's taxonomy places the organism in Eukaryota, Metazoa, Chordata, Actinopteri, Cypriniformes, Cyprinidae. The transcript has 2 exons.